UGAUUCCAUGCCGAACUCAGAAGUGAAACGCAAUAGCGCCGAUGGUAGUGUGGGGCUUCCCCAUGUGAGAGUAGGACAUCGCCAGGC
RNAcentral lists this ribosomal RNA (87 nucleotides) under Vibrio coralliilyticus. The record is from RNAcentral. Lineage: Bacteria; Pseudomonadati; Pseudomonadota; Gammaproteobacteria; Vibrionales; Vibrionaceae.